RNAcentral lists this ribosomal RNA (459 nucleotides) under uncultured bacterium. RNAcentral's name for it is "partial 16S ribosomal RNA". It matches the Rfam family "Bacterial small subunit ribosomal RNA", at positions 338 to 795 of the family's 1533-position model. The record is from RNAcentral.
CCUACGGGUGGCAGCAGUGAGGAAUAUUGGUCAAUGGUCGGGAGACUGAACCAGCCAAGCCGCGUGAGGGAUGAAGGUACAGAGUAUCGUAAACCUCUUUUGUCAGGGCACCAAGGCGGUGACGUGUCCCCGGAUGCGUGUACCUGCAGAAAAAGCAUCGGCUAACUCCGUGCCAGCAGCCGCGGUAAUACGGAGGAUGCGAGCGUUAUCCGGAUUUAUUGGGUUUAAAGGGUGCGCAGUCGGCCUGUUAAGUCAGCGGUCAAAGCCCGGGGCUCAACCCCGGCGCGCCGUUGAAACGGGCAGUCGCGAGUUGGAGAGAAGUAUGCGGAAUGCGCGGGGUAGCGGUGAAAUGCAUAGAGAUCGCGCAGAACUCCGAUUGCGAAGGCAGCAUGCCGGCUCCACACUGACGCUGAGGCACGAAAGCGUGGGUAUCGAACAGGAUGAGAUACCCGGGUAGUC